Non-coding RNA from Diplodia seriata, 177 nucleotides. The record is from Rfam. Lineage: Eukaryota; Fungi; Ascomycota; Dothideomycetes; Botryosphaeriales; Botryosphaeriaceae.
UCAUCAAACGCAAAAAUACAACACUCACUAAAAAGCAUUUUCGAUGGAGGUCCCUCUACUGGGUUCCCAUGAGAACGAAAACCGUCAGCUGAGUGGAGAACCGACUCCAGCGAUGGAUCUUGGGUGCGGUUCCUCCCUUGUUCACCAUGGGAGGGAGCGCAAUGAUCCGCCGUACAU